UCCCCGCUGUCUGAGGAAGGAGAGCAGGUUACUGAGUACUCUGGGGCGCGGCGCCUCCCCCCAAGCGCGAAUGCUAGUCGUGAACAGAGAAGCCAAUUGUUGAUGACUAAUUUCAACAGGGAGGAAACUGCCACCAGACCUCUUGGAGGGCUGACCCACUGCUGAGACCCUUGAGGGCGAACUUCUAAGUCUCUGCUACUUCCAGGGAAAAGCUGCGGUGUACCCUCCUGACCAUAGGGGAUACAAGAGCCUCAAGAAUAUAUUACCUACGAUAGUUUUAUUAUCAAAUGUUGCUAUUUUAUUUCUUUAUACACCAGAUCAUAUUUCUGUUUGUACAUUCUCUGUGGAUUUGUUAACAUUGAUGUCGUUUCUUUGGCCUCUAAACUUCUAAAGAGCAAGGAUCACAUUUAGUUUAGUGUCCUCCUAAAGAUGCUGCUUUUGAUGGUAAAGACAGUGAGUGAAAAAUUCAAGCCGCUUAAAGCCAAAGCACCCCAAAAUGAAAUAAUCUUAUGGAACCCAAGGGCACAGAGAGCAACAAGAUUUCAUGAAGGACUGAAACGAGGACCUAAAAUAUGAACAGGAAGCUAAGUGGUUAUUCCCUCAAUAUCUCUUUCUUUUUCUUUAUGGUCUCAUGU
Long non-coding RNA from Galeopterus variegatus (Sunda flying lemur), 635 nucleotides. RefSeq lists it as uncharacterized. The record is from RefSeq and is a predicted model, not a curated record. NCBI's taxonomy places the organism in Eukaryota, Metazoa, Chordata, Mammalia, Dermoptera, Cynocephalidae. The transcript has 3 exons.